This 468-nucleotide ribosomal RNA is filed under the name uncultured bacterium. RNAcentral describes it as "partial 16S ribosomal RNA". It matches the Rfam family "Bacterial small subunit ribosomal RNA", at positions 28 to 507 of the family's 1533-position model. The record is from RNAcentral.
GACGAACGCUGGCGGCGUGCUUAACACAUGCAAGUCGAACGGAAAGGCCCUGCUUUUGUGGGGUGCUCGAGUGGCGAACGGGUGAGUAACACGUGAGUAACCUGCCCUUGACUUUGGGAUAACUUCAGGAAACUGGGGCUAAUACCGGAUAGGAGCUCCUGCUGCAUGGUGGGGGUUGGAAAGUUUCGGCGGUUGGGGAUGGACUCGCGGCUUAUCAGCUUGUUGGUGGGGUAGUGGCUUACCAAGGCUUCGACGGGUAGCCGGCCUGAGAGGGUGACCGGCCACAUUGGGACUGAGAUACGGCCCAGACUCCUACGGGAGGCAGAAGUGGGGAAUAUUGCACAAUGGGCGGAAGCCUGAUGCAGCAACGCCGCGUGCGGGAUGACGGCCUUCGGGUUGUAAACCGCUUUCGCCUGUGACGAAGCGUGAGUGACGGUAAUGGGUAAAGAAGCACCGGCUAACUACGUG